Oryzias latipes (Japanese medaka) is the source of this 1761-nucleotide non-coding RNA. NCBI's taxonomy places the organism in Eukaryota, Metazoa, Chordata, Actinopteri, Beloniformes, Adrianichthyidae. The record is from RefSeq and is a predicted model, not a curated record.
ACAUCAUAAAUUGAACACACACAAAAACGACAAAACAUCUUUUUCAUUGAAGUGGGUCUUUAAAUGUACUAAUGAAUCGAUUUUGGAGGACAAGUUCUGUGUAGGGAUCUAUGUGGGUAGUUAAAUGAGACUAAACGAGGUGGGUUGUGUUUUGAUGCAUACUUCCAUGUUUCAUGACUCAUUAUACAGCUUCAGACGAGCCUGUAGAAAGCUACUACAGAGCAGAUCAUGUAGGCUGAGUGGCAGAAAGCUGGUGACACCUAGUUUCUGUCAUUCUGCUCCUGCAUUAACUCACACAAGAAAUAAGCUCAGCUUUUGCUUGUUCCCUUUUUGAUCAAACAUCUGAAGUUUAUUCUGUCAAACUGGCAGCGUUUUGGUGUAAGUCCUCAAAAUGACCUGCAGCAGGCAUGCCGUGGCUGCAGGGUUUCUGCUAUGCCUCCCCCUCCUCACACUCGCCCCCCGUGUCAGUCGCUGUCACCCCCAGCAGCUUCUCAGUUCAGCUCUGAUGUCCGACUCUGCAUGACAGACUCCUGCUGGCAGGCGGCGGUAGCGUGGAGAGAGACUGUGCCAGCCUGAGACGGCAGAGGCAAGCCAACAUGAGGAAGACGAAGGUGAAGAGGCCAGAGAAGGAGACGGCAACGACUGCUAUAGAGGAAGGCCAAGACAGCUCGCUCAGGGGAGCCCCGUCUGCAACAAAGGAGGACAAAGGCAGAGAGGAUGAGCUCCGACAGCUAACAGCAAGGUCAUGCAGGAGAUCGAAACAAAAAAAACAGUUUAUACAGACACAGAUUGUUUUUUGGCUUUUUCACUGUCAGCUUGAUGGAAGAAAUAUGUCUUGUCAUUGGCAUCUUCUCUAGAUUUUCAGUCAUUUCUAAGGCGUUCUUGGGAAAACGAGCACUAAAGCAAGUGUCCUGCAAAGAUUUGAAGCCACAAAAGUUAUGUUGACCAAACACUAAAGAAAACAAUGUUUUUAAAAAAGAAAAGUUUCACAAAUUGUAUAAAGUAUGACUGAUUCAGUUUGCUGCUACUUAAGAAGGUCAAAAAACUGUUUAUGAAGAAGUCAAAGGAUUUACAGCCUCCAACGUUCUGCCAAGAUCAAAGAAAAGUGUGCUGAUGGGUUUCAGAGAGAAAAUCUCAGAGAAUGCAUGAGUAAACACGUAAGCACACACCUGAAUAGGUUGUUCUCAGUGUGUGGCUUUUACUCUCUCUUUACAUCCACACUAACAGGAAGCCACUUAUGCUUUGCUUUUACAACACAUGAAGCAUUAGUCUUCAGUUAUUUAUCCAUAGCUUGACAGAGAUAAUUUAAUUUCUAUCAAACUACUGUCUCAAGAGUUUUUGAAGAGCAAUGAGAAAGGCUCUAUGCUAGCUGAAGGUUCAGAGGCCCAAACCGAACAUAUAGACCUAGUUAGUGGCUUUUAUAGGAGUAUUAUUUAUCAAUGUGAGCUCAGAAUAAUUCAUAGUUUUACUUAUUGCCAAACAGAAUUAAAUAUCUGUAUAUAUGUGGCUGCCCUGGGACACUAAAACAAAAAAAAUGACAUAGGAGGAUGGAAAUGUGACACAAAUAAAGGGGAUGAUGCUGCACAUUCAACUCAGCUUUAACAAAUUACUUGUUGCAAAUACAUUCCACCUUAACAAAACCCUUUUUGGUAAAAAAAAACACUUUGCAGGGCUGCAACUUUGGGUUGUAACGCCGAUUGAACUUUGUUUCUUUUCUUCCUUCAGGCCACAAUAAAGAAAAAAAUGUGUGUUUUCACUCCA